CCUACGGGAGGCAGCAGUGGGGAAUUUUGGACAAUGGGGGCAACCCUGAUCCAGCAAUGCCGCGUGUGUGAAGAAGGCCUUCGGGUUGUAAAGCACUUUUGUCCGGAAAGAAAUGGCGCUGGUUAAUACCCGGCGUUGAUGACGGUACCGGAAGAAUAAGCACCGGCUAACUACGUGCCAGCAGCCGCGGUAAUACGUAGGGUGCGAGCGUUAAUCGGAAUUACUGGGCGUAAAGCGUGCGCAGGCGGUUUGGUAAGACAGGCGUGAAAUCCCCGAGCUCAACUUGGGAAUGGCGCUUGUGACUGCCAGGCUAGAGUAUGUCAGAGGGGGGUAGAAUUCCACGUGUAGCAGUGAAAUGCGUAGAGAUGUGGAGGAAUACCGAUGGCGAAGGCAGCCCCCUGGGACGUCACUGACGCUCAUGCACGAAAGCGUGGGGAGCAAACAGGAUUAGAUACCCUGGUAGUCCACGCCCUAAACGAUGUCAACUAGUUGUUGGGGAUUCAUUUCUUCAGUAACGUAGCUAACGCGUGAAGUUGACCGCCUGGGGAGUACGGUCGCAAGAUUAAACGUCAAAGGAAUUGACGG
Molecule: ribosomal RNA, 585 nt
Filed under: uncultured bacterium
Lineage: Bacteria
Description: bacterial SSU rRNA
Rfam family: Bacterial small subunit ribosomal RNA
Source: RNAcentral